UACAACUCCUCCCCUUGUAAUCCGUUACAUUUUCAACUACUUGAUCGCAUUGAACUCAUUGCAUAGAGGGAGCAAAAGAGGUAAAUUAAACAGUCAUUAUUGCUAUGUUAUGUUGAAAAAACUUGUGGUCAGUACUAUAAAAGCAGCUUUGGAGGAUCGUGCAAAGCAUAGCCUGACAGAGUCAAGCAAACGAACAAAACCUAUCAACAUGAACAAGCUGUUUGUCCUUCUUGUCGUCGCCCUUAUGGCCACCGUUGCUGUGGGUCAAGCCGUGAGAUACGCAAAUGGCUACACCUACGACAUCGAAACUGGCCAAGUGUCCAGCCCUUACACAGGCAGAGUAUACGAAACUAAGGGAAAAGCUCCCUUUUAUGGUUUUGGUUUCAAGUAUCCCUAUCACUAUUAUCCAGGCUACUAUCACGGAUAUCCCCAUGUCUUCUACUAAACAGUCUUUGUACCAAGUUUAUUCUUCCAAACAACAUAUUGGCCAAACUUUCAAACUUAACUUUUCUUUUGACUCUUCAGUGAUGAUCAUCAUCAAAUAAAAGAAGCAUGAGUUUGUCUCCAAGUGCCACUUUUAUGACGUCACUACUGGAUAUUCCGAGUAAUUACAACACGUCUUCUACGCUAUGCUGUUCUUGUAUAUAAUAGGAAAAUAA
This is a long non-coding RNA of Limulus polyphemus (Atlantic horseshoe crab), 659 nucleotides long. RefSeq lists it as uncharacterized. The record is from RefSeq and is a predicted model, not a curated record. NCBI's taxonomy places the organism in Eukaryota, Metazoa, Arthropoda, Merostomata, Xiphosura, Limulidae. The transcript has 3 exons.